Long non-coding RNA from Erinaceus europaeus (western European hedgehog), 471 nucleotides. RefSeq lists it as uncharacterized. Lineage: Eukaryota; Metazoa; Chordata; Mammalia; Eulipotyphla; Erinaceidae. The record is from RefSeq and is a predicted model, not a curated record. The transcript is spliced from 4 exons.
GCCCAAGCUUUCCCAGGAGGAACCAUAAAACCUGGGAGACCCAGAAGCUAGAGAGGCCCUGCCUUGCCUUUGCAAGCCGCACCUGUCACCACACCCAUUUCCUGGUGUCUCCUGUCCCUCCACACCAUCACCUGUUCUGCGUUCUCCUGAAGAGGAAGAGGCCGGCCUGGGUCCCCCUCACACACAAGAUGUAAAGAGUGAGCCAGGAAGCAGUGAAACUGUUUAACCUCAAGCCUCAGCUGAUCAAAAACACCAUUUAGGGACAGAUCGCCAUGCCUCUUUCCUUGGAACCCGAACGUGUGGAGCUGAGUGUUGGUAACUACUCUCUGUUACUACUCUUGGCUCCUGAGCUGUCUUAGUUUCUGCGGUUCCUGCUCCAGAUUCUCACUCUCCUUCUCCCCAGAGCCCACCAGCCCACAACACCAUCUAUAAGAACAUAGGAACUGUGUCUUCUUAUCAGCUUAUGUACUG